RNAcentral lists this ribosomal RNA (368 nucleotides) under uncultured bacterium. RNAcentral's name for it is "bacterial SSU rRNA". It matches the Rfam family "Bacterial small subunit ribosomal RNA", at positions 28 to 398 of the family's 1533-position model. The record is from RNAcentral.
GACGAACGCUGGCGGCGUGCUUAACACAUGCAAGUCGAGCGGUAAGGCCCUUCGGGUACGACGAGCGGCGAACGGGUGAGUAACACGUGGGUGACCUGCCUCUAGCUCUGGGAUAAGCCUGGGAAACUGGGUCUAAUACCGGAUAUGACUCCACGGCGCAUGUUGUGGGGUGGAAAGCCUUGUGUGGCUAGAGAUGGGCCCGCGGCCUAUCAGCUUGUUGGUGGGGUGAUGGCCUACCAAGGCGACGACGGGUAGCCGGCCUGAGAGGGCGACCGACCACACUGGGACUGAGACACGGCCCAGACUCCUAUGGGAGGGCAGCAGUGGGGAAUCUUGCGCAAUGGGCGAAAGCCUGACGCAGCGACGCC